AGGGUGUAAACGCUGCAGACUUGGUGUUGGAAGCCCUUUGGGGGCAUUCAGUGCCGGAGAGAAGUUGUUAAGUCUGCUACUUGGGGAGUACGUCCGCAAGGAUGAAACUUAAAGGAAUUGGCGGGGGAGCACCGCAACGGGAGGAGCGUGCGGUUUAAUUGGAUUCAACACCGUAAACUCACCAGGGAAGACUGUUACAUGAAGGCCGAGAUGAAGACUCUGCUAGAUUUUCAGAGAGGUGGUGCAUGGCGUCAGUGACU
RNAcentral lists this ribosomal RNA (260 nucleotides) under uncultured archaeon. Its description in RNAcentral is "partial 16S ribosomal RNA". It matches the Rfam family "Archaeal small subunit ribosomal RNA", at positions 748 to 1008 of the family's 1478-position model. The record is from RNAcentral.